CCCAAGCAAAUGAGCCCUGCUGAAGUUCACCAUCUCCACUCAGGUUGCUUCCCUAGGAGACCAGCCUUCACUGGGGGAGAAGACUACCCUGCGGCGGGCUCUUCUUGGUAAGCACAGCAAAGGACAGCCAGCCAUGGCACAGGUCACAGGCAGAAAGGACAGGUUUUACCGGGCAAAGCUGUAUGUCAGCAGACUCCCAGUUUCACCAGGGGUACACCACGUUGGAGCUAGAAGGCUGGAUAACCAGAUGUAUUCGGGGACUUCAGGAUAAUCUUGGCAUCAGUUGUUCUGCUAGAAUCUGGACCAAAGACCACUUCAUGGGAGUCUUUUCCUCAAACUUGUGAUAGGUAUGUUUAAGAACCAGCUGUGAUUCCUGGGUGAGGGGAAUGAGAAGAUAAGCAUCUGUAACUGGUGAGUCUGUAUUGCAGAGGCUGAAGUCCAGCACGUUUUCUCCUGCAGUCUUUAUCUCUGCCCGAAGGCAGACUCCUAAAGAAUGAUCCAGUGGAGAUGUGGACCCUGUAUACUGGGUUUAAGCCUAUUGACAAAGCAUGGGCUCUUUCCAGUCAUGUUUUACAUGGCUUGCUCAGAAGCAGCCCUUAGUUACCUGGCAAUCUACCACAGAAAAUUCUCACCAUCUACUUUUGGAAUAGUCAAUAGUUUGGCUAAUAAGAAAUUUCUUUGGAUCACCUAGCUGAUGUGACACAAUUAUUCUACUUGGAGAUAGAAGACACGCUGCUUUUAUGUCUGAAUUGAAAUGCCCUUCCCAGACUAUGACUUGAAGGGAGACUGAUGAUAGUUGUACAAGAAACCUUUUGGAAGACUCUCUGGUCCUUGGAUUAUUCCAUGAGCUUGAAGCUUUUCUUGGAUUAGAGUAUCUUCCCAGGAAACUGAUGGUGGUGUGGGAGUUUAUCUGCGAGAGUGGAUUGCAUGUCUGAGGUUCUGUGACCGUUUUGUUCCAAAAAUGAUGUGUUUAAAAAUAAAUAAGGUAUCUAACCCACUUCACUCAGUUUUCUUCCAGUGGGAAGCUGACCUGUGAACCUUGGAUUUUUCCUAUACCUCAGUCAAGGGACAAACAAAUUUAAUUUCACAGAUAGAGCUAUCUUUAUUACUGCUACAUCUAAAAUAGAGCAAUGUAUGGGGUUUUAUUUGAUCAGUCAUUUCAAUCUCUCCAAGCUACCAUUAUGGCUUUCUGUGAAAGCCUGUAAAAAUUAAAAUAUCUUAGACAAAAAUAACACUCCCUCAUUCUAACACCAUGGAGUGUCUCAGUACAUGUUUUGCACAUCCUCUGAGGCUGUAUCAACAAUUCGAAACAGGCUGCAGUAAAAGGGAAAUCAUAAAAAUAAGCAGUGUUUACUGUCUUGACCUGUAUCCUCUGAGGCUUCUGAUGUGUACUGACCAAGGAUAAUCUGCAAUGCUCAUAGGAUAAAAUAGUGGGCAUUAAAGGUCGUGCAGUGACUGUCGAGGUCAAAGCCAGUUCUGCAAAAGAAACGCAUUGAAUCCUUGUUCUGUUAAACUUUUUCACAAAACCUGAUAGCAAAGAGCAGCUUCUUGGUUCUUUUUCAGGUGUACUGUACAGAUUUCAAGUUUCUUCUAAUACACAGUAAUAAAAUAUGUACAUAUAGGAUUUGUGAUAGAAGAGCAUUUUGCAGUCUCUUGGUGUGAACAUGUACAACUUCAUCAAAAUAAACAAGGUGUAUGUUAUGCUCUGAGAGCUAAGGGACUUUUUGUUUAAAACCAUCUUUCCUAAAAUCCCCCUGCCUUAAAGACUAUGUUAAUACGUAAAGAUAUUUCUCUUCUGGGCAAACCACUGUAAAAUGCACUUUUUCAGACUAUUUCUUUUGAGAUUCAACAUAUGCCUUCACAAGGUAGUCUUUCGUAUGCCACGCAGGACGGUAACACCUUCGAACAACAAAAAGACAACCAGAGGUCUCCUGCUGAACCGGCAGCAUUGACACCAUUGCAGGUCAAACAUAUCACCAAGAUAACCCUCUUUUCUUACUUUUUAAAAA
Long non-coding RNA from Haliaeetus leucocephalus (bald eagle), 2009 nucleotides. RefSeq lists it as uncharacterized. NCBI's taxonomy places the organism in Eukaryota, Metazoa, Chordata, Aves, Accipitriformes, Accipitridae. The record is from RefSeq and is a predicted model, not a curated record. The transcript is spliced from 4 exons.